Molecule: long non-coding RNA, 286 nt
Organism: Pezoporus occidentalis (night parrot)
Lineage: Eukaryota; Metazoa; Chordata; Aves; Psittaciformes; Psittacidae
Exons: 2
Source: RefSeq, a predicted model, not a curated record
CGCCGGCAGAGCAGCCGCCGGAGGGGAUACCGUUCCAGGCGCCAGAGGAGAAGCCGCUCUAGCCGCCGGGGGCAACGAGUCUCCAGGCGCCGGCAGAGCCGCAACAGCCAGAGUAAACGACGCAGAGGUCGCCAAUCUCGAUCACGGAGGAGAUACUGAUCUUUCUGCCAGCUUGCUCCCAUGCGGGGGUGUCCUGGCCAUUGGCUGCCGCCUGCCCCAUGAUCUGAGAAGUCAUCACAGGUCUACCACCACUGGGCAGGCCAACUCACAAUAAACUGCUGAAACA